Molecule: non-coding RNA, 250 nt
Organism: Schizosaccharomyces pombe (fission yeast)
Lineage: Eukaryota; Fungi; Ascomycota; Schizosaccharomycetes; Schizosaccharomycetales; Schizosaccharomycetaceae
Source: the annotation of a GenBank genome assembly
AUGGACUUUUUUCCUUUUAUUAAAAAGUUUGACAAGUGCUUUUGAAGAAGCGAAAUAAUCUUGUCUCUGAUAAAGUGCAAUCGUUAACUUCCACUCAAUUCAACCAUGUUGGCUGAAUUUUAUCAAUAACGCUCAUAUACUGGUUCACUCGAUCCAAAUUUCUGACAUGUGAGUCUCCAGUCCAGAAAAGUUUCCAAGGUGUUUUGCUUGACUUUAAGGAGCCUACACUUCUUUCAAAGUACCAUUUAUU